RNAcentral lists this non-coding RNA (30 nucleotides) under Trypanosoma vivax. The record is from RNAcentral. Lineage: Eukaryota; Euglenozoa; Kinetoplastea; Trypanosomatida; Trypanosomatidae.
AAUCACAUAAACGACAAUGUAAUGCAAUGU